RNAcentral lists this ribosomal RNA (508 nucleotides) under uncultured bacterium. RNAcentral's name for it is "bacterial SSU rRNA". It matches the Rfam family "Bacterial small subunit ribosomal RNA", at positions 791 to 1304 of the family's 1533-position model. The record is from RNAcentral.
UAGUCCGCACCGUAAACGAUGCUCACUCGUUGUUGGCGAUAGACAGUCAGCGACCAAGCGAAAGCGAUAAGUAUCCCACCUGGGGAGUACGUUCGCAAGAAUGAAACUCAAAGGAAUUGACGGGGGCCCGCACAAGCGGUGGAGCAUGUGGUUUAAUUCGAUGAUACGCGAGGAACCUUACCAGGGCUUAAAUGCAUAUUGACAGGGGUAGAGAUACCUUUUCCUCCGGGCAAUCUGCAAGGUGCUGCAUGGUUGUCGUCAGCUCGUGUCGUGAGAUGUUGGGUUAAGUCCCGUAACGAGCGCAACCCUUGUCCUUAUUUGCCAGCGGGUCAUGCCGGGAACUUUAAGGAGACUGCCGGUGAUAAACCGGAGGAAGGUGGGGACGAUGUCAAGUCAUCAUGGCCUUUAUGAGUAGGGCUACACACGUGCUACAAUGGGCGGUACAAAGGGUUGCCAAACCGUGAGGUGGAGCUAAUCUCAAAAAACCGUUCUCAGUCCGGAUUGGAGU